AGCAGCGUGGUCUAGUGGAAAGAUCCUGGCCCCGGGAGUCAGAAGACUUGGGUUCCAAUCCCGGCUCUUCUU
Molecule: transfer RNA, 72 nt
Filed under: Ornithorhynchus anatinus (platypus)
Lineage: Eukaryota; Metazoa; Chordata; Mammalia; Monotremata; Ornithorhynchidae
Rfam family: tRNA
About the family: Transfer RNA (tRNA) molecules are approximately 80 nucleotides in length. Their secondary structure includes four short double-helical elements and three loops (D, anti-codon, and T loops).
Source: Rfam by way of RNAcentral